GCUGGGCAUGGUGGCUCAUGCCUGUAAUCCUAGCACUUUGGGAGGCUGAGGCAGGUGGAUCACUUGAGGUCAGGAGUUCGAGACCAGCCUGGCCAACAUGGUGAAACCCUGUCUCUA
RNAcentral lists this non-coding RNA (117 nucleotides) under Nomascus leucogenys (northern white-cheeked gibbon). Lineage: Eukaryota; Metazoa; Chordata; Mammalia; Primates; Hylobatidae. The record is from Rfam by way of RNAcentral.